This 585-nucleotide ribosomal RNA is filed under the name uncultured soil bacterium. Its description in RNAcentral is "bacterial SSU rRNA". It matches the Rfam family "Bacterial small subunit ribosomal RNA", at positions 322 to 898 of the family's 1533-position model. The record is from RNAcentral.
AGACACGGCCCAGACUCCUACGGGAGGCAGCAGUGGGGAAUAUUGCGCAAUGGGCGAAAGCCUGACGCAGCAACGCCGCGUGGGUGAUGAAGGUCUUCGGACUGUAAAACCCUGUCGUCAGGGACGAAGGUUGGGGGGUUAAUAACCCUUUAGCUUGACGGUACCUGGAGAGGAAGCCCCGGCUAACUCUGUGCCAGCAGCCGCGGUAAUACAGAGGGGGCAAGCGUUAUUCGGAAUUAUUGGGCGUAAAGGGCGCGUAGGCGGUUUUUUAAGUCAGAUGUGUAAUCCCCGAGCUUAACUUGGGAACUGCAUCUGAGACUGGAAGGCUAGAGUACUGGAGAGGGUGGUGGAAUUCCUCGUGUAGCGGUGAAAUGCGUAGAGAUGAGGAGGAACACCAGUGGCGAAGGCGGCCACCUGGACAGUAACUGACGCUGAGGCGCGAAAGUGUGGGUAGCAAACAGGAUUAGAUACCCUGGUAGUCCACGCUGUAAACGAUGAACACUUGGUGUGGAGGGAGUUGACCCCUUCCGUGCCGGAGCUAACGCGUUAAGUGUUCCGCCUGGGGAGUACGGUCGCAAGGCUGAA